Molecule: long non-coding RNA, 502 nt
Organism: Denticeps clupeoides (denticle herring)
Lineage: Eukaryota; Metazoa; Chordata; Actinopteri; Clupeiformes; Denticipitidae
Source: Ensembl
GUCCAGUUUGGCCAAGAGGAUCGCCAACUCGUCAGGCUACGUGGGCGACCGCUUCAAGUGCGUCACCACUGAGCUGUAUGCUGAUUCCAGCAAACUGAGCCGGGAGCAACGUGCCCUUCAGAUGGAAGUCUUAUCCCAAGAGAACAGUAAUUUAUGUCAACCUGCAGCUAACCAUGAGCGCGCAAUGAUGCGCUUCUCCGAGCUGGAGCUGAAGGAGAAGGAGGGAGGGGCGGCGGCGGCAGGCCGGGACUUGGCGGCGGUUCAGCGCGGCGAGGGGAGACUGGGAGCGCAGCCAGCGCAGCUCUAAGCCAGGGGCCGCAGCCCUCGCCCACGAAACUGAGAAGAACAGUGUUCAGCCCCCAUGCACCAAUAACAGGGUUCCGGUCCUGCAACGGUGCGGCGUUCCAGCCAACGGCCUCCAGCUCCCCCGCGGACGAGAGCCGGGACGGCGGGCGGAUGAGAGGAGAUUGAGAGAUGGCGAGGACCGGGACAGGAGGAGGGG